Molecule: ribosomal RNA, 305 nt
Filed under: uncultured bacterium
Lineage: Bacteria
Description: bacterial SSU rRNA
Rfam family: Bacterial small subunit ribosomal RNA
Source: RNAcentral
CCUACGGGACGCAGCAGUUAGGAAUAUUCGUCAAUGGGGGGAACCCUGAACGAGCAAUGCCGCGUGAGUGAUGAAGGCCCUAUGGGUUGUAGAACUCUGUUGUUGAGAAAGAAUGGUAAGAUUAGGAAAUGAUUCUUACUUGACGGUACUCUUCAAGAAAGCCACGGCUAACUACGUGCCAGCAGCCGCGGUAAUACGUAGGUGGCGAGCGUUAUCCGGAUUUAUUGGGUUUAAAGGGUGCGUAGGCGGUUUUUUAAGCUAGUGGUUAAACGUCGGGGCUUCACCUUGAUUUGCCAUUAAUACUG